GGAACUGUUUACUUUGCUGAACCUCACAAAGGUAAGCAAGAUUAGGUCUGGUGAGUACAUGGAUGGGAAACCUCCUGGGAAACAUAUAUAUUCCC
This 95-nucleotide ribosomal RNA is filed under the name Salvator merianae (Argentine black and white tegu). Lineage: Eukaryota; Metazoa; Chordata; Lepidosauria; Squamata; Teiidae. The record is from RNAcentral.